Long non-coding RNA from Corapipo altera (White-ruffed manakin), 1250 nucleotides. RefSeq lists it as uncharacterized. The record is from RefSeq and is a predicted model, not a curated record. NCBI's taxonomy places the organism in Eukaryota, Metazoa, Chordata, Aves, Passeriformes, Pipridae. The transcript is spliced from 5 exons.
UGGAGUGCUGUGCCCAGUGCUGGGCUCCCCAGCACAUGAGAGACAUGGACCUGCUGCACUGAGUCCUGCAAAAGGCCACAAAGGUGAUUCAGGGCCAUAUAAGCAGAGGCUGAGAGUUGGGCUUAUUCAGCCUGGAGAAGAGAAGGCUGAAGGGGACCUUAUCAGUGUUUAUAAAUAUCUGACUGGAGGGAAGAGGGGAGUAAGUAAGAUGGGCCAGACCCUUCUCGGUGGUGGUGCCCAGUGACACCACCAGAGGCAACGACCAUAAACAGAAAUAUAGGAAAUUCUGUGUGAACGAAAGAAAUAACUUUUUUACUGUUCAGUGGUCAAACACUGGAGCAGCUUGCCCAGAGAGGAUGUGGAAUCUCCGUCCUUGGAGAUAUUAAAAACUUGACUGGAUGCAGCCCUGAGCAGACUCCUUUAGUUGCCCCUGCUUUGACUGGGUAUCGGACCAGAUGGUCCCCAAAAAUGCUCAACCGUUCUGUGAUUCUGUGGGGUGGGCACACCUGUGCAUUUAUACAUCUGUGAACACACAGGCACCAGCAUCUUGCUCCCAUUGCUUCUUCUCUCCUCUGAUGGUGUUUAAGCCCUUUCGAACAGCAGCCCAUGGAAGGGGAUGGGUGGACAGAUUGUCUAUUAAAACAGGAUCAAGGCCAUAAGAAUAACAGCAUGAGAACAACGCGAGAACAACUGACAACAGAGGAAAACAGCUGUCCCAGAAGAGCUGGAAAACACUCUUAUGGCAGCUUAGGAGGAAAGAACAUUGUACCUUGACAAGUACUGCGGUUUCCCAUCUCUGUCAAUGGGUUCAGCAAGUGACUCAGAGUGACACAUAAAUGAACAGUCAGCACCACUCCCUGCAGUGUCUGGCCAUUCAGAGAACCCUCACCACCCAUACAUCUUUGUGGUUUGAGAAGUCUGACAAGAUUGCCAUCAAAAGUGGAAAAUUCGGGAAAGCCCAACUCUGUUUUGACAUCAGCCACUGGUUUAAAAUGCCAAAGCACAGAGAAAGCAAAACCACGAAGAUACAGGAACUGCAACACAACUGUUGUCAAGUGUUAAUACAUGCAUAUUGAACCACUACAUCCUGAAUGUGACAAGCACCUGCCAGGAUCUGCUCCAGGACUCACCAGAGCUGUCCCUAAUGAGACUUGAUUUGCUCUUGAGUGUGUCUGUUCCCUGUGGACGCUGGAGAGCCCCCCCACAGAUGAUGCAGAGGAUGCUCUUGUGUCUGGAGCCACGUGUGCUAC